CCCAGCUAGGCUCGAACGGAGGGUGUUUCUUAAAGGGAGAGGCGCUUGGGUUAUCUUUUCCGUCCCACUUUCUUGAAUGGAAUGGACCUCUGAGGUUCCACGACGCGCCUCCACUCGAGCCGGGACGCGUGGUUUGAACUGCUUCUGAGAAGCCUCAAAGAGGCGCCUCGCGCUUUGCUGCUUCUUAGCAGACGGAGCGCUCGGGCCUGCGUGCAUCACAGCUGCACGGACUAGUGUUCAAGCUCUCCGCCAGGGUAUCCGGAUUGGGAAACUUCUCCCGGGUAGUCUGGCACCCCGACACCCUCGGGGACAAAAGAGCCACUCACGUCCCGCCUUCGCGCCUUAGUGCUAAGAGAGGUUCACUUUGGACCUGGAACUUUACGAGGGGGAAGAAAGCAGAGACUGACUGAGUUUGGAGACCUGAAGUAUCUGAUGCCACGUAUGGUUUCGUCUGAGCUCCUGAGAGUGGAAGGGGGGAGAGUAUUGAAGCAAAAUGGGCAGCUGUCUUUUGGAGUUAGGAGUUGUAGUUGGCUACUUUAUGUCUCUUCACCUCAGCUGCAGUCAUUCAAAUAUUUGGGUCCGAACUGUUCCAGGCCGGGUUUUCUUGAGAAGAUUGAGCAGAACCAAACAGAAUCCUUGUUCUAAAGAGUAGGUCUUCCUAUAACAUGAAAGAAUAAUUAGCAGGAUGAGAGUGAGCCAUGCCCUUGGACCACCUGGAGAGGAGGUAAGUUCUUAAUGUUUCCAUUGCUGCCUUUUUUUAACUAAGUAGAGAUCCUUGUAGAAUAGCUAGACAGAUGCUAAUCUUUUAGUUCAACUCCAUAAAUAUUUAUUAUGUACUAGUUUUCUGUCUUGCACUGGGAUGAGUGCUGAAUUUUUUUUUUUUUUUUUUUUUUUUUUUCUGCCCUGUUGUGUGUGGAGUUCCUGGUCCAGGGAAUCAGAUCUGAACUGCAGUUACUGUGGCAAUACUGGACCCUUUAACCCAUUGCACCGGGCCAGGGAAUCUAACCUGCAUCCUGGCCCUGUAGAGACACCGCUGAUCCCCUUGUGCCACAGUGAGACCUCCUGAACGUUCUUUAGAUGUAGUGCAGUCCUUGAAUUUAUGGUCUUUUUUUUUUUAGGGGAAAUAAGAUAUAGCAAUAUUGAACAAGUAGAUAACAAUAUAAAAGAAGUCCUGUUUAUAGGAUUGAGCCAGAAAUGAACAAAUUAAGCCUGGAACACCUUACUAUAUUAGUAAGAAAGGAAAUAAACAAAUACUACUGUGGUCUUUCUCUUCUUUUCUGUGGUACUUUUAAUGCCCCAGUAAACUUUUUGUUUUCUUAUUGCGUUCUAAUCGACAUCUAACAUCAUGUUAGUUUCAGGUGUACGACAUGAUUUGCUCUAUGUUUAUAUUGUGAAAUGAUAACAGUAAGUCUAGUUAAAAUCCAUCAUCAUACAUAAAUAAUUUUUUUUUCUUGUGUUGAGGACCUUUAAGAUUUACCCUUAGCAGCUUUCAAAUAUGCAACACAGUAUUAUUAACAACAGUCAUCAUCCUAUACAUUACAUCCCCAAGACUGAUUUAUUUUAUAAUUGGAAAUUUGUAACUUUUUGAGCCCCUUCGUCCGCUUCACUCACUUCCUGUCACUCCCACCACACUGCCAAUCUGUGCUCUGUUUACAUAAGCUUGGUUUUUUUAGAUUCCAAAUAUAAAUGAGAUCAUACAGUAUUUGUCUUUUUUUUUUUUUUGCUUUUUAUGGCAGAACCCACAGUGUUAGGAGGUUCCCAGAUUAGGGGUCUCAUUGGAACUACAGCUGCCAGCCUAUACCACAGCUACAGAAACUCGGGAUAUGAGCCGUGUCUGCAACCCUACACCACAGCUCAUGGCAAUGCCAGAUCCCCGACCUGCUGAGUGAGGCCAGGAAUUGAACCCCCAUCCUCAUACAUACUAGCUGGAUUGUUUCCCCUGCGCCACAACAGGAACUCCAGUAUUUGUCUUUUUCUGACUUACUUUACUAGUAUGUUGCUUUCAAGGUCCAGCCGCAUUAUCACAAAUGGGAAGAACUCUUUUUUUAUGGCUGAGUAUUAUUCCAUUGUGCAUAUACACAUCUUCCAUCUCCAUUCAUUCAUCACUGGAUACUUAGGUUGUUUCCAUAUCUUGGCUACUGUAAAUAAUGCGGCAGUGAACAUGGGGGUGCACGAAUCUUUUCAGGUCUGUGUAUUUGUUUUCUUUGGAUAAAUAUCUAGAAGUGGAAUUUUUGGAUUUAAUUUUUUGAGCAACCUUCAUACUCUUUUCUGUAGUAGCUGCAGCAUUUUACAUUCCCAGUCAUGGUGCCCAGAGGUUUCCUUUUCUCUACAUCAGUGUUACCACUUUUUCUUGUCUUUUCGAUAAAAGACAUUCUAAUAAGUUUGAGGUGAUACCUCAUUGUGGUUUUGAUUUUUCUAAUGAUUAGUGAUAUUUAGGACUUUUCAUGUACCAAUUGGCCACCUGUAUGUCUUUUUUGGGAAAAAAGUGUAUGUCUUAUGCUCAUGUUUU
Molecule: long non-coding RNA, 2509 nt
Filed under: Sus scrofa (pig)
Lineage: Eukaryota; Metazoa; Chordata; Mammalia; Artiodactyla; Suidae
Description: lncRNA (ENSSSCG00065060201.1)
Source: RNAcentral